GAAAGGCCUACGCCAAUACAGUGUCAAGCAUUACCAAUUGUGCUCUCUGGGAGAGAUAUUAUUGGUAUUGCUAAAACUGGGUCCGGUAAGACUGCUGCCUUUGUGCUUCCUAUGAUUGUCCACAUCAUGGAUCAGCCUGAACUUCAGAAAGAAGAAGGCCCCAUUGGAGUUAUUUGUGCACCCACUAGGGAAUUAGCACAUCAAAUAUUUGUGGAGGCAAAGAAAUUCUCGAAAUCGCAUGGUAUCCGUGUGUCUGCAGUUUAUGGAGGAAUGUCUAAAUUGGAUCAAUACAAAGAACUAAAGGCUGGGUGUGAGAUUGUUGUUGCUACUCCAGGGAGGUUGAUAGAUAUGAUCAGAAAGAAGGCAUUUACAAUGUUGAGAGCAACUUAUCUAGUGCUUGAUGAGGCAGAUCGGAUGUUUGACCUUGGUUUUGAGCCUCAAAUAAGGUCCAUUGUUGGUCAAAUUAGACCUGAUCGCCAAACAUUGCUCUUUUCAGCAACUAUGCCCCGCAAAGUUGAGAAGCUUGCCAGAGAAAUAUUGACGGAUCCUGUAAGGGUUACUGUGGGUGAGAUUGGCACGGCUAAUGAGGAUAUUACACAAAUAGUUGAAGUGAUUCCUUCGGAUGCUGAAAAAUUGCCUUGGCUUCUGGAGAAGCUCCCUGGACUGAUUGACAAUGGUGAUGUUCUUGUCUUUGCUUCGAAAAAGGCAACAGUGGAUGAGAUUGAAUCUCAAUUGGCUCAGAAGGGAUUUAGAGUUGCAGCUCUCCAUGGUGACAAGGAUCAAGUUUCUCGUACGGAGACGCUGCAAAAAUUUAAAUCUGGCAUAUAUCAUGUUCUCAUUGCAACUGAUGUUGCUGC
This 857-nucleotide unclassified non-coding RNA is filed under the name Hevea brasiliensis (rubber tree). Lineage: Eukaryota; Viridiplantae; Streptophyta; Magnoliopsida; Malpighiales; Euphorbiaceae. The record is from RNAcentral.